Molecule: small nuclear RNA, 101 nt
Filed under: Octodon degus (degu)
Lineage: Eukaryota; Metazoa; Chordata; Mammalia; Rodentia; Octodontidae
Source: RNAcentral
AAGCAGAGUGCUCGCAUACUAAAAUUGAAACGAUACUGAGAUAAUUUGCAUGGCCCCUGCACAAGGAUGACACGCAAAUUCGUGAAGCGUUCCAUAUUUUU